AUUCAGCGAGGCCUCAUGGAAGAUGACGCUGAGCCCAUCUUCGAGGACGUGAUGAUGUCUUCACGCGGUCAGCUAGAGGACAUGAAUGAGGAAUUCGAGGACACCAUGGUGAUAGAUUUGCCAGCGUCGAGAAACCGGAGAGAAAGAGCUGAACUCAGACCAGACUUUUUUGACUCUACGGCCAUAAUGGAAGAUGAUUCUGGAUUCGGAAUGCAGAUGUUUUGAGAGAGAUUUCAGCCUUUAUGGGGAUCACAACCAGCAACCUACAAGAAUCACAUCUUAAAU
This is a long non-coding RNA of Carassius auratus (goldfish), 285 nucleotides long. RefSeq lists it as uncharacterized. Lineage: Eukaryota; Metazoa; Chordata; Actinopteri; Cypriniformes; Cyprinidae. The transcript is spliced from 3 exons. The record is from RefSeq and is a predicted model, not a curated record.